UUUCCGUAGGUGAACCUGCGGAAGGAUCAUUAUUGUAUAACCGAGGUGCGAGGGCUGUCGCUGACCCGAAAGGUCGUGCACGCCCGAGUGCCCUCACACACAUCCAUCUCACCCCUAUGUGCACCACCGCGUGGGUCCCCCUUUGGCUUGUUCGGAGGGGGGCUUACGUUUUCACACAAACUUUGUAUGCAGUGUAGAAUGUAUUUUUUGUUUUUGCGAUCACGCAAUCAAUACAACUUUCAACAACGGAUCUCUUGGCUCUCGCAUCGAUGAAGAACGGAGC
Molecule: unclassified non-coding RNA, 283 nt
Filed under: plant metagenome
Description: partial contains small subunit ribosomal RNA, internal transcribed spacer 1, and 5.8S ribosomal RNA
Rfam family: 5.8S ribosomal RNA (bases 235-283)
Source: RNAcentral